This is a long non-coding RNA of Neltuma alba, 209 nucleotides long. RefSeq lists it as uncharacterized. NCBI's taxonomy places the organism in Eukaryota, Viridiplantae, Streptophyta, Magnoliopsida, Fabales, Fabaceae. The transcript has 4 exons. The record is from RefSeq and is a predicted model, not a curated record.
UUGAUUCAUCAUGAGAAGUUCAUUGACUUGAUCUACAAUUGCAUAAGCAGAAACUUAUUGGCUUUCAAUAAGCAGAGCAAUGGCCAGAUGUUUCCUGAAGAUGGCACAUCUUAGGUGAGGGAACUAGGUGAAUUGCUCUGUUUUGAAGAAAACAGUUAUAUGAGAAGUAAGGAAGGCAGGUUUCAACAUUAACGGCAUUGUGGGUAUUA